CUGGGCGGGCGAUUGCGGGAGAUUUCGCGGCUGCAUGGGGUGCAGGUGGUCGGAGGUUCAAAUCCUCUCGCCCCGACCA
Molecule: transfer RNA, 79 nt
Filed under: Burkholderia glumae
Lineage: Bacteria; Pseudomonadati; Pseudomonadota; Betaproteobacteria; Burkholderiales; Burkholderiaceae
Also listed under: 3 other names
Description: tRNA-Pro
Source: RNAcentral